CUGGCCAGAAACUCAGAAUCAGAUGGGUCCCCACGUCUGUGUUUUAAAAGUCACUCCGGACUUCUCCAGGGGACAGCCCUGUGCUUCCAGGGCCUGCAGGAUCACACAGAAUCUAGCCUGGCCACUUCUGUUCAACGUGAUUGUUUGAGAGAGGCAUCCGUGCUAUGCAUAACUGCAAUUCACCUGUCUUCACUGCUGCGUAAGAGUCCUGUGAUGGGAUACUGUCUUCACUGCUGCGUAAGAGUCCAGUGAUGGGAUACUGUCUUCACUGCUGCAUAACAGUCCAGUGAUGGGAUACUGUCUUCACUGCUGCGUAAGAGUCCAGUGAUGGGAUACUGUCUUCACUGCUGCGUUAGAGUCCAGUGAUGGGAUACUGUCUUCACUGCUGCGUAAGAGUCCAGUGAUGG
Non-coding RNA from Chlorocebus sabaeus (green monkey), 407 nucleotides. NCBI's taxonomy places the organism in Eukaryota, Metazoa, Chordata, Mammalia, Primates, Cercopithecidae. The record is from RefSeq and is a predicted model, not a curated record.